Long non-coding RNA from Uranotaenia lowii, 710 nucleotides. RefSeq lists it as uncharacterized. The transcript has 2 exons. The record is from RefSeq and is a predicted model, not a curated record. Lineage: Eukaryota; Metazoa; Arthropoda; Insecta; Diptera; Culicidae.
AAUUGUUCAAAAUUUUUGACAAAAACAAUAAUUGAGUUUAAACCACAAUGAACUUGCAAUUUUAUUUGUAAUUACUCGUGGACAUCGAAGAUGAAAAUGAAAAUGGUAAAUUUUAUUUCGUAAAAAAACUCAAAAAAACAUUUGAAGAAUUUUUUAAAGAAAAAUGUUUUAAGAAGAAUUUUUAACGCUUAGACUGAUUGACAAUUUGAGAGUUUUUGAAAAUCAGGACGGUAUCUCGAUAAUCAGGACAAAUCCUGAUAAAACAGGACACCUGGCACCUCUGAUAACAGCUGUCAUAACUGCCAAGAAUUUCGAGAAGAAUAAAAAAAAAUAAGAAUAAGAAAUUAGAAAAAUUGAUUUUGUGGUACGGUGCAAUUGAAAUCAACAGCAACUAAUUUUUUAUGCCGAUAGCUGCCGUAAUGGAACAGGAAGCUUGCACACCGAGAGCUGGACUCUCCAGCCCAACAGUUAGGCCAAGAGGUACAAAUAAUUCAGUGGCGGCGAAUGCUGUUUUUUUUCUACGCAGCCCGAGUUCCCCGAACGUGGGGACUUCCCACGCUGGUCUUGCUGUGUAAAUUCCGGACCUAAUUCUUCAAUGCCGUUGGAUACUUCAUUCACCAUUGAUUUUUUACACCAGCUGGAUCAAAAAAUUAAAAAUGUUCUAAAUGCAGUAAAUGUGAGUAAAAAAUAAAAUGAAUUAUUAAGUGAAA